UCCCUAAUUCCCCUUUCCCAUUCCCCACUCGCGCCGCCCUGGGCUCUCCGCCGCCGCCGCGCCAUUGUGCUGCACCCGCGCGACCCUACUGGACUGCCGCCCCACACCGCCUGCCCCCAUGCGCUCGACCCCUCUCGUCUGCACCGGCGCACUCCCCUGACCACAAGAACUUUGGCGUCGUCACCGUCAUGGCAUGCGGCCGGCAGAUCCCGGGGAGACGGGAUUCAACCUGCGGCAGAGGGCUGUUGCCCUGUACUAGAAGACUGCGCCGGCCGUGGUGAAGUACUCCAUGGAGGCGCUGCUGCUCGUGGUGUCCAACCCCGUUGACGUCCUCGCCGGCCUCGCCUUCAAGAUUUCAGAGUUGGGUUCCAGGCGAGCGGCGUCAUCUGCUCCGGUACCGACCUCGACGCCUCCUGGUUUUGGUUCCUCAUCAACGACCCCCCGCCAUCAACGCACAGGACGUGCAGGAUUCCCAGCCCACCCCAGCAUCCCCUUCAACCCGGAACCAGUUUACUGUUGCGCCUCUGCAACCUUACAGGUCGCCACAGUCUGUGCAACAGCUAGCAGCAGGGCCCAUUGUCGUUGCCGUGCAUCCCAGGUUCAUCUGCUUGCUGCUGUUGCCAUCGCUGAAACCAACCAGGAGUUAGUGGCUUCAAAGCACCAAAGUAUAAUAAUCUUUCUUCUUCAUAGGUUGGUCGGACAAUCUGGUGCUUAUCUGCUGGGAUUUUGAAUUGAAUAUGUGUGGAAUUUCUGGUAGCUAUGUGGAUCUAUUGGCUCCGAAAACUGAUACCCCAGUGUCUACAAUUUGUGGCCAUGUAGGCUCAAGCGUCUCUCCUUCAUCAUGUAAAAUGUCAAACUUGAAAAUCGUCUAGGCAGAAGGGUACAUCCCCAAGAGGCCCAAUUGCAGUAAAAACUUUGGCGAUGCUCAUGACAGGCAGUGACACUCUGUGGUGGUGUCGAGCGUUGGGGUAGGAAAGCAGAACAUCAUCAACUCUGCCUCACCUCUUCCACUCGUGCUGUCUGAUGAUGUUCAAGCUGGAGGAUGUUCUGCAAUGAGAUGUGGAAUGAAGGCUUUGAUGUCAAGUACGAGAAUGAUGCAAGGAUGUUGGUGGAAGGCUGUGAGGAUGGGUAUGUAGUUACCCACUACAAGGAGCCAAGGCAGAUGAUGUGCCUCUUAGAAAAAUUCUAGUAAACACUAGGAAUUUUUGCUCUCAGACAAUGAACCAUAAUGUCUCCUCUAUUUCAUUAGUUACAUAAGUUUACAGGAAACUUGGAUGGUCAUUGGUUCAUAACAUAUGCACUAUUUAUAUGUGAAAAUUAAUGGAUGUGUGUUAUUAUUGUUUGGUUCUGA
Molecule: long non-coding RNA, 1351 nt
Organism: Aegilops tauschii subsp. strangulata
Lineage: Eukaryota; Viridiplantae; Streptophyta; Magnoliopsida; Poales; Poaceae
Source: RefSeq, a predicted model, not a curated record